GAAACCGUGUGCUUACAAGUAGUCAGAGCCCGUUAAUGGGUGAUGGCGUGCCUUUUGUAGAAUGAACCGGCGAGUUACGAUUUGAUGCAAGGUUAAGCAGUAAAUGUGGAGCCGUAGCGAAAGCGAGUCUGAAUAGGGCGUUUAGUAUUUGGUCGUAGACCCGAAACCAGGUGAUCUACCCUUGGUCAGGUUGAAGUUCAGGUAACACUGAAUGGAGGACCGAACCGACUUACGUUGAAAAGUGAGCGGAUGAACUGAGGGUAGCGGAGAAAUUCCAAUCGAACCUGGAGAUAGCUGGUUCUCUCCGAAAUAGCUUUAGGGCUAGCCUCAAGUGAUGAUUAUUGGAGGUAGAGCACUGUUUGGACGAGGGGCCCCUCUCGGGUUACCGAAUUCAGACAAACUCCGAAUGCCAAUUAAUUUAACUUGGGAGUCAGAACAUGGGUGAUAAGGUCCGUGUUCGAAAGGGAAACAGCCCAGACCACCAGCUAAGGUCCCAAAAUAUAUGUUAAGUGGAAAAGGAUGUGGCGUUGCCCAGACAACUAGGAUGUUGGCUUAGAAGCAGCCAUCAUUUAAAGAGUGCGUAAUAGCUCACUAGUCGAGUGACACUGCGCCGAAAAUGUACCGGGGCUAAACAUAUUACCGAAGCUGUGGAUUGUCCUUUGGACAAUGGUAGGAGAGCGUUCUAAGGGCGUUGAAGCAUGAUCGUAAGGACAUGUGGAGCGCUUAGAAGUGAGAAUGCCGGUGUGAGUAGCGAAAGACGGGUGAGAAUCCCGUCCACCGAUUGACUAAGGUUUCCAGAGGAAGGCUCGUCCGCUCUGGGUUAGUCGGGUCCUAAGCUGAGGCCGACAGGCGUAGGCGAUGGAUAACAGGUUGAUAUUCCUGUACCACCUAUAAUCGUUUUAAUCGAUGGGGGGACGCAGUAGGAUAGGC
RNAcentral lists this ribosomal RNA (930 nucleotides) under Staphylococcus aureus. Its description in RNAcentral is "partial 23S ribosomal RNA". It matches the Rfam family "Bacterial large subunit ribosomal RNA", at positions 552 to 1487 of the family's 2925-position model. The record is from RNAcentral. Lineage: Bacteria; Bacillati; Bacillota; Bacilli; Caryophanales; Staphylococcaceae.